CCCUUAACUGCCAACAGAUGGUAACAAUUAAGUGUCUGCAGUCUCUAUGGCUGCCUUCUGUGGAGGAGGGGGAAGUUGAUAUGGUGUGGUCUGAACACGCCCAAGAUGUAUCUUCUUAGAAAGAGCGGAUGCCUGUUGAUGAAGUGACUUUCUUUCUCCACAGGUAUAUAAGGGUUUUUAGAAGUUGUUUUGAAAUGGGUUUUGCAACUUCUUUCUGCAGUUGUUUCUCUGUGCUGUUCCAUCAGGGGGCAUAUUGAAUCUGAGCAUUAACUUAAAAUGUCAGUUGUUAACCUUUGGAGCAGUCAUUCAAUGAGCCUUUAACAUUUUAUGACAGGCAUGUAUAAUUUAGUGACUACGUUUCGUACAUCUUUUUCCGUGGAGGACUUUUUUUUUAGGACCACCAACAGGUCUUCGUCUUGGAGGCAACAGAAGUCCAAGACCAAAUCCAGAGGCACACAGAAGAGGGGAUAA
RNAcentral lists this long non-coding RNA (471 nucleotides) under Struthio camelus australis. RNAcentral's name for it is "lncRNA (ENSSCUG00000010261.1)". The record is from RNAcentral. Lineage: Eukaryota; Metazoa; Chordata; Aves; Struthioniformes; Struthionidae.